Molecule: ribosomal RNA, 447 nt
Filed under: uncultured bacterium
Lineage: Bacteria
Description: bacterial SSU rRNA
Rfam family: Bacterial small subunit ribosomal RNA
Source: RNAcentral
UGGGGAAUAUUGGACAAUGGGCGAAAGCCUGAUCCAGCCAUGCCGCGUGAGUGACGAAGGCCUUAGGGUUGUAAAACUCUUUCGUCGGGGACGAUAAUGACGGUACCCGAAGAAGAAGCUCCGGCUAACUUCGUGCCAGCAGCCGCGGUAAUACGAAGGGAGCUAGCGUUGUUCGGAAUCACUGGGCGUAAAGCGCACGUAGGCGGAUAGUUAAGUCAGGGGUGAAAUCCUGGGGCUCAACCCCAGAACUGCCUUUGAUACUGGCUGUCUCGAGGUCGAGAGAGGUUGGUGGAAUUCCUAGUGUAGAGGUGAAAUUCGUAGAUAUUAGGAAGAACACCAGUGGCGAAGGCGGCCCCCUGGGCUAACACUGACGCUCAUGCACGAAAGCGUGGGGAGCAAACAGGAUUAGAUACCCAUGUAGUCCCUGAGCGGGCUGGCAAGGCGCAU